Molecule: long non-coding RNA, 2550 nt
Organism: Macaca fascicularis (crab-eating macaque)
Lineage: Eukaryota; Metazoa; Chordata; Mammalia; Primates; Cercopithecidae
Source: Ensembl
CUUGAAAUGUUUUUAAUAGAAUUGGUCUAGCAAUCAUUCAGGAUUUUGGUGAUGGGCCCUCCCUGUCUGGACACUGCCAACCCACAGCUGAGGGGCAUUUAAGGCACGUCAUUUUGUGAUUAGAAUUACACAAAGUUUGAUUAAUAUUACAGCUGCAAAAUUAACAUACACAGUUUUCACUCAUUUAAAAUAUUUUGUUUUGAUGAAAUUCUUUGCUUUCACAAUAAUCAAUAGUACACAGUAUAUUGACUCUGUAACAAAAUUAUUUUUGAGAAAAUACAGAAGUGAGAAAUAGUGAUUUCCUCAAUUUGUUUAUAGUCUAUUACAAAGUAGGCCAAAGUUCAGUAUUAAAUAAAUAGAUAUCCUAAUAAAAGUUUUUACAAGUUUUCCUAAGGAAAUACAUUCAUAAGACUGUUUACCUUCUGUUUGACAGCAGUGACAGGAACGUGGGGUUUCCCAAUCAUGACGAGUCCCUAGCACUCGGCUCCUGGCACCCACGGCCCAGGCGCGCUGCAUCACCUGGUGGGGUGCAGCCUGGCUUUUGCGAGUGAGGUUUUCUCAUUGGAACUCUGGUUCCAUGUUUGUGCUUAGCCUGUGUGCGGUUCUCGUAAACACAGAACGCCUGCCUGCCCACCCCGGGUGUGAAGACUGACGGGUCAAGGAGGUGUUGGUGAGACUGUUUUGUUCACCAUGUGGAGAUCAGGUGGUGAUUACCGCAUCUUCUUUGCUGACUUUGGUAACUGGGUGUCCAGUGGGGAGCGACCGGGAGUGGCCAGGCUGUUGCCUGGACUCAGCUUCUGACUCUGCAGCCAGGAGUCAGAUGCAGGCCCAAGGGUCCAGGGGAGUUGUUCAGCACCUGGAAUCAUGCACUGCGCUGUGGCCACGCGACGCUUCUGGCUUGUUCUCCCAGGCACAGACAGGCACUUGGAAGGCAACUUUGCUCCUCUGGUCACCCGGAGACCUCCUAGCAGUGCAGAUGGGACAAACUGGAGGCCUGUGGGAACACCCACUCAUGCCCGGAAGGCCAGGCCCCAGCCUGCUCCAGUGAACGUCAGGAUAGUGGCUGCAGCAGGGAACCAGGGCUGGCCUUGGAUCUGUCCAGCAGUCACUGACCGGGCAGGCUUUGCUGCAUAGAGGAUGGCUGCAUUUUGUGCUCAGAGUUGGUUGAAAUGGCUGCAAAGUGUGGACAGUGACCACUGAAUCCCAAAAGUCACUGCACUUGAUCUGACCCGAAUACCAGUGACUGCAGUUAGGGUAGAGAGCUUCUCCGAAGCAGGGGUCAUGGAGGCUUUUGUGUGGCUGAGGCUUCCCUUUUUCACAACAGUAAGAAGCUAUCAAUGGGAAAUUGUGGACUUUUCCCACCAGGGACUCAAUGUGCAAUAUUCAGUCAAUAUAAAACUCUUAAGAACUCCUCCUUACUGGUGACUGUCAACACUGGAUCUAAGACGUGAAUAGUCUAAUUUUCCUGAGCAAGGAGCUGCAAGUCUGGCUUUAGAAAAGCCCUUAGGAGUGUCCCACCUCCACCGCGCAAGCAGGUUUUAGGUGGGGUGGACCCUGUGGGACUUGCCCUCUGAGGGAUGGAUGGACUCAGAGCCCCUCCCCGGCUCAGCACCCGCGGCCUCCGCCCACUCAAUGGACUGCGCCUCCCAGAUCUCAGGCUGGAUGAUCUCCCUGCAGAGGACCAGAAGCUCUGUCCAAGGCCUCGGCCUGGGAUGCUGGAAGGGGUGGGAAGGGUCCGGGGUCCAGGACAGGCCCAGGGGUCUCAGCAGGUCCUCCUUGGAGGGCCUGAGCCUGGUGAGGGGGACGGUGCCCUGGGCCCCUCCAUGCCCCCUUGGUUCGCCCUGCUUUGUUAAGGGGGCCAGAGCAGCUGCUGGGCCCCACAGUCCACUUAAGGAACGGCCAUGAUUCUUGGAAAGCGCCGCCCGCCAGGCCACCUUUCACCCAGCCAGGGCCCCCGGGGCGACCUCCGGGCCAGGUGCGACAGGUCAGGCCGGAGACCUCGUCUGUGGGGGACGGGCAGUGCCCGCGGCCGCCACCCUGAGACCGGGCGCGGGCAGGACGGAACCUGGAGGGGGAACGAGGCAGGUGCUGGCUCUAGGAGUCUAAAUCCCCAAGCGCUGAGUAGACGGAAGACGUUCCCGCCACUUUACCUGCAGCUCAAAGACCUGGCGAGGGCCUGGAAACGGCGCUCGGCCAGGGCCGCUGCAGGGCCGGGCCUGCAGCCACUGCAGGUCUGGCCCUGAGUCCUGGCGCUCGGAAGGUCCCUGAGUCGGUCCCCGGGGAGAGGUGCGGGGCUCGGGGGUGGGGGCCCGGAGCCUUGGGCUGGUUUCACGCAAAUCCGUUUUGGGCGAGCCUCGGUUUCCCGGCAGCUGUGGGAAAGGGCGCGAGCGGCCAGCCACGGCGCGCGGGCCCUUCCCGCCCGCGGCUUCACAGCGGCGUCUCCUCCUGCUCCAGCGCGUGCGGCGGUGCGUGGCACGAGGGCGGCAGCGACGCCAGCUUCAGCAGGGCGGGCGGCGGCGCGCGCGGGGCCGCUGGAACGAGCGCCGGCUG